UCCGGUUGAUCCCGCCGGACCCCACUGCUAUCGGGAUAGGACUAAGACAUGCUAGUCGUGUGCCUCAGCCAAAACGAGGCACGGCGCACAGCUCAGUAACACGUGGCUAACCUGCCCUUAGGACGAGAAUAACCCCGGGAAACUGGGGCUAAUGCUCGAUAGGUGAAGAACUCUGGAAUGAGUCUUCACUUAAAAGAGUCUGCGUUAUGCUCGUAGAUUUCGCCCAAGGAUGGGGCCGCGACCGAUCAGGUUGUUGGCGAGGUAAUGGCUCACCAAGCCUUUUACCGGUGCGGGCCGUGAGAGCGGGAGCCCGGAGAUGGGCACUGAGACAAGGGCCCAGGCCCUACGGGGCGCAGCGGUCGCGAAAACUUUGCAAUACACGAAAGUGUGACAGGGCUAUCCCGAGUGCCAUCCGCUGAGGAAGGCUUUUACCCAGUCUAGAAAGCUGGGGGAAUAAGGAGAGGGCAAGUCUGGUGUCAGCCGCCGCGGUAAUACCAGCUCUCCGAGUGGUGUGGAUGUUUAUUGGGCCUAAAGCAUCCGUAGCUGGCUAAGUUAGUCCCCCGUUAAAUCCAACGAAUUAAUCGUUGGAUCGCGGGGGAUACUGCUUGGCCAGGGGACGAGAGAGGCAGACGGUAUUUCCGGGGUAGGGGUGAAAUCCUAUAAUCCCGGGAAGACCACCAGUGGCGAAGGCUGUCUGCUAGAACGCGCCCGACGGUGAGGGAUGAAAGCUGGGGGAGCGAACCGGAUUAGAUACCCGGGUAGUCCCAGCUGUAAACGAUGCAGGCUAGGUGUUUGGACGGCCACGUGCCGUUCUAGUGCCGCAGGGAAGCUGUUAAGCCUGCCGCCUGGGGAGUACGAUCGCAAGAUUGAAACUUAAAGGAAUUGGCGGGGGAGCACCACAAGGGGUGAAGCUUGCGGUUUAAUUGGAUUCAACGCCGGA
This 940-nucleotide ribosomal RNA is filed under the name archaeon enrichment culture clone C4-34C-A. RNAcentral describes it as "bacterial SSU rRNA". It matches the Rfam family "Archaeal small subunit ribosomal RNA", at positions 1 to 922 of the family's 1478-position model. The record is from RNAcentral.